This 495-nucleotide ribosomal RNA is filed under the name uncultured bacterium. RNAcentral describes it as "partial 16S ribosomal RNA". It matches the Rfam family "Bacterial small subunit ribosomal RNA", at positions 28 to 507 of the family's 1533-position model. The record is from RNAcentral.
GACGAACGCUGGCGGCGUGCCUAAUACAUGCAAGUAGAACGCUGAAGGAGGAGCUUGCUUCUCCGGAUGAGUUGCGAACGGGUGAGUAACGCGUAGGUAACCUGCCUGGUAGCGGGGGAUAACUAUUGGAAACGAUAGCUAAUACCGCAUAAGAGUAGAUGUCGCAUGACAUUUGCUUAAAAGGUGCAACUGCACCACUACCAGAUGGACCUGCGUUGUAUUAGCUAGUUGGUGAGGUAACGGCUCACCAAGGCAACGAUACAUAGCCGACCUGAGAGGGUGAUCGGCCACACUGGGACUGAGACACGGCCCAGACUCCUUCGGGAGGCAGCAGUAGGGAAUCUUCGGCAAUGGACGGAAGGCUGACCGAGCAACGCCGCGGGAGUGAAGAAGGUUUUCGGAUCGGAAAGCUCUGUUGUAAGAGAAGAACGAGUGUGAGAGUGGAAAGUUCACACUGUGACGGUAUCUUACCAGAAAGGGACGGCUAACUACGUG